GGGAGAAGCCCCGGGGACAGUGUGCUGGGAACAAAGCACCACAGAGGUUCUUCAUCCUGGACUUCAAAGGAUCGCUGAAUUCUUCUGGAAUUGAAUGGAAAAUUUGUUUUUGCUUUUUUUUAUCUUGAGCAAAGAAGCCAUAACUUUCAUCAGACUCCCCACGGGUCCACUCCCAAAGCACCAAAAUAGUGGAGCUCUCCCCAUCAGACUUAAGCCUGGCUUUAAUGGCCUUUAUUCAAUAAAAUGAGAGAUCAGUUCA
This 259-nucleotide long non-coding RNA is filed under the name Rattus norvegicus (Norway rat). RNAcentral's name for it is "long non-coding RNA NONRATT003970". Lineage: Eukaryota; Metazoa; Chordata; Mammalia; Rodentia; Muridae. The record is from RNAcentral.